UAUAUACAUAUAUAAUAUAUAGGUUCCCGUGAUUCACAGUUGUGGGUCGAAUACCCUAAAUUUUGAAUUCCACGAUACAACUCCCCGGCAAGUGUACAACGGAAUAUCCCAGCCAUGGAAAACAACUCAGCAGAGCUCAGUGAAUAAUUGGUACCCAACCUGGCCUGCUAAAGAAAUUAGACCACUGAAAACUGAUCCUGCUCAUUCUUCUUACUUGGCUGGUUCAGCCAAUUACCCGACUGUGAACGGCGUAGCACAACCAAGCUGGUCAGCGACCUGGACAAAAGAUGGCAAGAGGAGAGAGAAACGUUGGGUGAAGUACGAUGGGAUCGGGCCAGUGGAUGAGUCUGGGAUGCCCCUUGCCUCUCGAUCGAGUGUAGACAGUCCUAG
Pseudonaja textilis is the source of this 390-nucleotide non-coding RNA. NCBI's taxonomy places the organism in Eukaryota, Metazoa, Chordata, Lepidosauria, Squamata, Elapidae. The record is from RefSeq and is a predicted model, not a curated record.